RNAcentral lists this ribosomal RNA (119 nucleotides) under Oryza rufipogon (brownbeard rice). The record is from RNAcentral. Lineage: Eukaryota; Viridiplantae; Streptophyta; Magnoliopsida; Poales; Poaceae.
GGAUGCGAUCAUACCAGCACUAAAGCACCGGAUCCCAUCAGAACUAUGAAGUUAAGCGUGCUUGGGCGAGAGUAGUACUAGGAUGGGUGACCUCCUGGGAAGUCCUCGUGUUGCAACCC